Sinocyclocheilus rhinocerous is the source of this 736-nucleotide long non-coding RNA. RefSeq lists it as uncharacterized. The transcript is spliced from 3 exons. The record is from RefSeq and is a predicted model, not a curated record. NCBI's taxonomy places the organism in Eukaryota, Metazoa, Chordata, Actinopteri, Cypriniformes, Cyprinidae.
AUCAUGUCAACAUAUUGUUAGACUACUUGCUAUGUGUUAUAGACUUAUAACCUCAAAAUAAUAUGAGACAAGGCACAAGAGCAUCAGUAUCAGAUGAUAUGAUUAUCGUUUCAGCAAGUUGCUAAUUACUAAUUGUCACAUAUUAUUCUGAGAUCAUAUAACAUCAGCAUCAGUCAGACAUUGACGCUGACUCAUAUUUGGCUUUCUCCAUGCCUUCACUAGAAUUAGCCAAGCAGGUUAAUUUGGAGUAGCCUAUCCGAAUACAUAAACAAAUAAAAAUAUAUAAUCAGACAAAUAUGGCCUAUAAGCAUGCGAACUAUUGAACAGGUUCAUUUGUUGAUAUCCGGGGGAAAUCCAGUCUAAUGGUUCUCAAGCGUUUCAGAUCAUCCGCCUGCAUGUGCGGCACAUUAUAUCAACAGCGCCAGUCAAGCCUGUCGGGCUCCGCAGCUCAUGUUAACAGGCAAUUAAUCAGCCGGUUGAUUACAGCGUGCUGCGAGCACUGAAGUUGACUGAGGGCGAUAUGUGCGAUACCAUUCAUCAACGUGUCACAGGAGCUACAAAGGCUCGAGCUGGAAUGGAGCGAGAUGUUUUUGAUUAAACGCUUCCAAGGAGAUGAACCAAACAAACGUUGCCAUGAACGAGUGUGUUUGGUUACAAACACACAGAGGGCAGGGGAAGGCUGCCGGAGCCAGGUGCCGGGCCGGGCUGUUGUGUUUGUAUAUGGUGCGGUUGCCAU